UCCACCACUACAUAAGUAAGUCUUAAAUUGCAUUCAAUAAGUAGACUUGUGUUUACGACUAGACAACAUUCUGAAAUAUGUUCUUGAAGGUGAUUUUCGUUCUACUGUUGGUGUUUGUUGCCGUGAAAUCUCAAAUGCCUCCAUGGUUCUGGCCAGGCUUUAACAUCUCUGACACUUCCUCGGCACAAAUGUGGCAAGCCCAAAUGUGGCCGUACUGGACCAUGCGGAUGUUUGGAGGGGACGAUGAUGGAUGGGGAGACUAAGUCAGAUGAUCAUCGUGAAACGAUGACCUAUCUGUCAAAAAGGGGACAUAAAAGAAAUACUCCACCAUUCAACCGUUUGUGUUGUUUUUUUCUUUAAUAUUUUUGUUGAGCGUGGUAUGUAAUACUAAAAUAAGAAGUAAAAACGUCCUCCUCUUU
This is a long non-coding RNA of Mya arenaria, 419 nucleotides long. RefSeq lists it as uncharacterized. Lineage: Eukaryota; Metazoa; Mollusca; Bivalvia; Myida; Myidae. The transcript has 3 exons. The record is from RefSeq and is a predicted model, not a curated record.